Molecule: transfer RNA, 69 nt
Filed under: Ictidomys tridecemlineatus (thirteen-lined ground squirrel)
Lineage: Eukaryota; Metazoa; Chordata; Mammalia; Rodentia; Sciuridae
Description: Spermophilus tridecemlineatus (thirteen-lined ground squirrel) tRNA
Rfam family: tRNA
About the family: Transfer RNA (tRNA) molecules are approximately 80 nucleotides in length. Their secondary structure includes four short double-helical elements and three loops (D, anti-codon, and T loops).
Source: Rfam by way of RNAcentral
GGGGUUGUAGCUCAGUGGUAGAGUGCUUGCCUAGUAUGUAUGAAGCACUGGGUUCGAUUCUCAGCACCA